RNAcentral lists this ribosomal RNA (253 nucleotides) under uncultured bacterium. Its description in RNAcentral is "partial 16S ribosomal RNA". It matches the Rfam family "Bacterial small subunit ribosomal RNA", at positions 524 to 776 of the family's 1533-position model. The record is from RNAcentral.
UACGUAGGGUGCAAGCGUUAUCCGGAAUUAUUGGGCGUAAAGAGCUCGUAGGCGGUUUGUCGCGUCUGCUGUGAAAACUGGGGGCUCAACCCCCAGCCUGCAGUGGGUACGGGCAGACUAGAGUGCGGUAGGGGAGAUUGGAAUUCCUGGUGUAGCGGUGAAAUGCGCAGAUAUCAGGAGGAACACCGGUGGCGAAGGCGGGUCUCUGGGCCGUAACUGACGCUGAGGAGCGAAAGCGUGGGGAGCGAACAGG